RNAcentral lists this ribosomal RNA (497 nucleotides) under uncultured bacterium. RNAcentral describes it as "partial 16S ribosomal RNA". It matches the Rfam family "Bacterial small subunit ribosomal RNA", at positions 28 to 507 of the family's 1533-position model. The record is from RNAcentral.
GAUGAACGCUGGCGGCGUGCCUAAUACAUGCAAGUCGAGCGAACGGACGAGAAGCUUGCUUCUCUGAUGUUAGCUGCGGACGGGUGAGUAACACGUGGAUAACCUACCUAUAAGACUGGGAUAACUUCGGGAAACCGGAGCUAAUACCGGAUAAUAUUUUGAACCGCAUGGUUCAAAAGUAAAAGACGGUCUUGCUGUCACUUAUAGAUGGAUCCGCGCUGCAUUAGCUAGUUGGUAAGGUAACGGCUUACCAAGGCAACGAUGCAUAGCCGACCUGAGAGGGUGAUCGGCCACACUGGAACUGAGACACGGUCCAGACUCCUACGGGAGGCAGCAGUAGGGAAUCUUCCGCAAUGGGCGAAAGCCUGACGGAGCAACGCCGCGUGAGUGAUGAAGGUCUUCGGAUCGUAAAACUCUGUUAUUAGGGAAGAACAUAUGUGUAAGUAACUGUGCACAUCUUGACGGUACCUAAUCAGAAAGCCACGGCUAACUACGUG